UUGCAAGCCUCCAGCGUGCUUGGGUCUGCAGCGACCCUGUGCCUUCCUACAGUGCUUGUGAGAACAGGUUUGAAAUGGUUUAGGCCUUGCUCUGCUCCAUCUACAGAGCAAGGUAGUAGAAAUUCAGACAGUU
Molecule: small nucleolar RNA, 133 nt
Filed under: Dasypus novemcinctus (nine-banded armadillo)
Lineage: Eukaryota; Metazoa; Chordata; Mammalia; Cingulata; Dasypodidae
Description: Small nucleolar RNA SNORA9 (ENSDNOG00000027161.2)
Rfam family: Small nucleolar RNA SNORA9
About the family: ACA9 is a member of the H/ACA class of snoRNA that guide the sites of modification of uridines to pseudouridines.
Source: RNAcentral